This 250-nucleotide ribosomal RNA is filed under the name uncultured bacterium. RNAcentral's name for it is "partial 16S ribosomal RNA". It matches the Rfam family "Bacterial small subunit ribosomal RNA", at positions 524 to 773 of the family's 1533-position model. The record is from RNAcentral.
UACGUAGGUGGCAAGCGUUAUCCGGAAUUAUUGGGCGUAAAGAGCGCGCAGGUGGUUGAUUAAGUCUGAUGUGAAAGCCCACGGCUUAACCGUGGAGGGUCAUUGGAAACUGGUCGACUUGAGUGCAGAAGAGGGAAGUGGAAUUCCAUGUGUAGCGGUGAAAUGCGUAGAGAUAUGGAGGAACACCAGUGGCGAAGGCGGCUUCCUGGUCUGUAACUGACACUGAGGCGCGAAAGCGUGGGGAGCAAAC